GGAAUUCGAUUAGGCCUAACACAUGCAAGUCGAACGGUAACAGGUUAAGCUGACGAGUAAAAAACGGGUGACUAAUGCAUCGGAACGUUUCCGGUGGUGGGGGAUAUCGCAGUGAAAGCUGCGCUAAUGCCGCAUACGAUGUGAGGAUGAAAUCGGGGGGCCGUUAGUCCUCGCGCGAUCGGAGCGGAUGAUGUCAGAUUAGGUAGUUGGUGGGGUAAAGGCUCACCAAGCCAAUGAUCUGUAGCUGGUCUGAG
Molecule: ribosomal RNA, 254 nt
Filed under: uncultured bacterium
Lineage: Bacteria
Description: partial 16S ribosomal RNA
Rfam family: Bacterial small subunit ribosomal RNA
Source: RNAcentral